This 482-nucleotide ribosomal RNA is filed under the name uncultured bacterium. RNAcentral's name for it is "bacterial SSU rRNA". It matches the Rfam family "Bacterial small subunit ribosomal RNA", at positions 903 to 1397 of the family's 1533-position model. The record is from RNAcentral.
AAAGGAAUAGACGGGGGCCCACACAAGCAGUGGAUCAUGCGGUUUAAUUCGAUACUGAACGAGGAACCUUACCCAGACUUGAUAUCUACGAAAGUCCGCAGAAAUGUAGACGUGCCCUCACGGGAAUCGUAAGACAGGUGCUGCAUGGUUGCCGUCAGCUCGUGCCUUGAGGUGUUCGGUUGAGUCCGUUAACGAGCGAAACCCAUGUCAUUAGUUAUUAUGUCUAAUGAGACUGCCCGAGUUAAUCGGGAGGAAGGUGUGGAUGACGUCAAAUCAGCAUGGCCCUUAUGUCUGGGGCUACACGCAUGAUACAAUGGUCGGUACAAAGAGUUGCAAACUGGCGACAGUAAGCUAAUCUCAUAAAGCCGAUCUCAGUCCGGAUUGGAGGCUGAAACUCGCCUCCAUGAAGUUGGAAUUGCUAGUAAUCGUGAAUCAGAUAUGUCACGGUGAAUAUGUUCCUGGGUCUUGUACACACCGCCCGU